GGGGGGGGUGGAAGGAAGGGGAAGGAAGGACUACAAGGCCCGGCAUGCCCCGGCGGUGCUGCACGGCUCCCCGGGGUGCCGGAUGCUGGCCGUGCCGCUGACAGCGGAGCGAAGCGGAGCCGCGGUCCCCGCCGCGCAACGGAGAGGAGCGAGGGGCUGGGCGCGCCGCGCCGCCGGCUGCGCUUCCCCCCCUUUUAUCCCAGCCCCCACAAAGCCGGGAGCGGCAGAAGGUGGCGAGCGGUGCCGAAGGCUCCGGGACCCCCGCGGCCGGCCAAGAGGCAGCCCCGCCGGACGGCAGGAGCCUCCCCAGGCGGGCGGGCUCCGAGGGGCUUGGAGCGCAGCAGCCGGCGGAUGGGAGCUCGGUCGCACUGGAGAACGGUGCCAGCCCGGCAGCAGAGUGGUUCCCGUGCACCCAGGGCUCGGGUCCCUGCCAGCCUGGCAGCGACGGUGACAGCAGGAGCUUCAGAGUGAACCUGCACUGCAAGCACCCGCGCACCAGAGAGCUCAAGUGCAAUAGGAGGAGCAGCAGCAAAGCCGAGGGUCCCAGUGCCACCUUCCCUGACCCCCAUGUCAGCAACUGCUCGGCCAAGCGUCCCGCGGGGGAGGAGGAGGUCAGGAUGCGUGUGAAGCCC
RNAcentral lists this long non-coding RNA (632 nucleotides) under Strigops habroptila (Kakapo). Its description in RNAcentral is "lncRNA (ENSSHBG00005007470.1)". The record is from RNAcentral. Lineage: Eukaryota; Metazoa; Chordata; Aves; Psittaciformes; Psittacidae.